GACGAACGCUGGCGGCGUGCCUAAUACAUGCAAGUAGAACGCUGAAGGAGGAGCUUGCUUCUCUGGAUGAGUUGCGAACGGGUGAGUAACGCGUAGGUAACCUGCCUGGUAGCGGGGGAUAACUAUUGGAAACGAUAGCUAAUACCGCAUAAGAGUAGAUGUUGCAUGACAUUUGCUUAAAAGGUGCAAUUGCAUCACUACCAGAUGGACCUGCGUUGUAUUAGCUAGUUGGUGGGGUAACGGCUCACCAAGGCGACGAUACAUAGCCGACCUGAGAGGGUGAUCGGCCACACUGGGACUGAGACACGGCCCAGACCCCUACGGGAGGCAGCAGUAGGGAAUCUUCGGCAAUGGACGGAAGUCUGACCGAGCAACGCCGCGUGAGUGAAGAAGGUUUUCGGAUCGUAAAGCUCUGUUGUAAGAGAAGAACGAGUGUGAGAGUGGAAAGUUCACACUGUGACGGUAUCUUACCAGAAAGGGACGGCUAACUACGUG
This 495-nucleotide ribosomal RNA is filed under the name uncultured bacterium. RNAcentral describes it as "partial 16S ribosomal RNA". It matches the Rfam family "Bacterial small subunit ribosomal RNA", at positions 28 to 507 of the family's 1533-position model. The record is from RNAcentral.